This 208-nucleotide long non-coding RNA is filed under the name Nicotiana benthamiana. RNAcentral describes it as "long non-coding RNA (NBEN_LNC014830)". The record is from RNAcentral. Lineage: Eukaryota; Viridiplantae; Streptophyta; Magnoliopsida; Solanales; Solanaceae.
GCAUGCUUAGAUUUAAAAACGAAAGUCCAGUAAAGGAAAACAAAGAUUAAAAGUUCAGUAAAAUACAGUAAAAGAACGCAUGCUUAUAGAAAUUAGUAGAAAGAAGAAUAGAAUAGAAGUACAUUCAUAACACGACAAAUAUAAGAACACAAAAGAAAAACUCAUACAAACAUGGCAUGGAUAGAUUUAGACAAAGAAAAGAAGAAGA